AGUCUUGUUGUUCAUACUGUAAGGGCC
This 27-nucleotide non-coding RNA is filed under the name Rattus norvegicus (Norway rat). The record is from RNAcentral. Lineage: Eukaryota; Metazoa; Chordata; Mammalia; Rodentia; Muridae.